UAUGUAGGUGGCAAGCGUUGUCCGGAUUUACUGGGCGUAAAGAGCGCGCAGGCGGUCGUUUAAGUCGAAUGUGAAAGCCCCCGGCUCAACUGGGGAGGGUCAUUCGAUACUGAUCGACUUGAAGGCAGGAGAGGGAAGUGGAAUUCCGGGUGUAGUGGUGAAAUGCGUAGAUAUCCGGAGGAACACCAGUGGCGAAGGCGACUUCCUGGCCUGUUCUUGACGCUGAGGCGCGAAAGCUGGGGGAGCAAACGGG
Molecule: ribosomal RNA, 253 nt
Filed under: uncultured bacterium
Lineage: Bacteria
Description: partial 16S ribosomal RNA
Rfam family: Bacterial small subunit ribosomal RNA
Source: RNAcentral